RNAcentral lists this long non-coding RNA (2076 nucleotides) under Anas platyrhynchos platyrhynchos (common mallard). RNAcentral describes it as "lncRNA (ENSAPLG00000029815.1)". The record is from RNAcentral. Lineage: Eukaryota; Metazoa; Chordata; Aves; Anseriformes; Anatidae.
CUGCUUCAGGCUCCUUUGUCUAUCAAUUAACAGAUAUAUCAUCUUCACUUGAAAUGGUACUUCACUUUAAAGAUUUUGUUUCUCAUUAUGCUCCUUUAAAUGUCUUCAAGUAUUGGCAAAUCUUAUGGACUAAUUCUAGUCAGCUGCUCACCAGCUGAGCUCUUUCGACCCUUCUAAGACCUAUAAAACGGUAAACCUUUGCCAUUGUUUUGGGGAAGGUGUUUUUGUUUUACAUUUCAGCCUUAGCAGGCUAUGUAUUGUCACUUCCAGCUUCAGCCUGAUACCCUGUACAUAAUGCUUGAUGGAAGGAGCAUUGCUUCAUAUUCAAAUCUAUUAAUUUUAAUGCAUCAGUAUUGCCACUGUGAUAGUUUUUAGGCUCUGGAGAAAAGAGGGGAGCGGAAAGAUACAAGUGUCAUAAAUGUCGUUUUAUUUUGAAGGCUGGUGUGUUUUUUGUCCUUUUUGCUACUAACAUGAGCUUCCAAGCUAAACCAUUUUCACAGAAUCUGUGUACUUUUGUAAUGUGUCAAGUGAAAUGCAGCAUUCAGUGUGAGUCUUAAUGGCUUUUUGUCCUAAAAUUACAACAGCCCCCUACUACAUGUGUUAAGAUGAUCAUAAAUUCCAGCUACCACUGAUUAAUCUAUGGAAGAAAUCAAGUGCUCUAGAAUUACAAUGACUUCAUUAGAUAAGCAAAAUAAAAAUGUCUCCCCAGACAUGGGGGAGUAAUUGGUUGCAAGGGUAUAGGAGGGAAUAAUAGUUACCUUGAUGUGUAAAUACUAACUUGUCUUUUUCUUUAUUUUAGGCUGCACGUUCUUUUUCAAUUUCUGCAAAAUGAAUGGGUGUAGUUGACAAGAGGCAUGUAUUUAAGGUGCUGGUAGAGAGAAAACUCGAAGAAAAUCCUACCACUUUGACUUAUAAGGGUGGAAAUACACUUAAACAACUGGAAGCUCAUCUUUGUCUUUACAGAUACAAAAAGAGUAAAAGUGAGAAUGGAAUGGACCAGGAAAAGUAUUUGUUUUGUGCUGGCCUCAUGGUACAAGAUCUACAGGUAAAAUAGAUUGAGAUUAUUCUGCAGACACAAGAAAAGCUUACACCAUCUCCUGUGGUUUGACCUGGAAGAUUAUUUUGCAGUUUCCAUUCCUAAUAAGUAACAGAUCAGUUGUAUACUGGAAUUGACAACAUGGGUUUUAAACCAGCUUCAGAUGAUCCUGGGCUGGGAAAUUGGUCCCGCUGAGCUUUCCUAGGAUUAUGGGUUAUGCUGGCCCAGCUAAACCUAAGGAAUUUAGUUAAGGAAUUUACAAGUUCCAGUUUAAUCUUCUCAAGCCAUUUGUGACUGUUCAUUCCCAAAGCUGCCUUACUUACCUUGUCCCACAAUUAAAAUAGCUCUCCCUUCUCCUCCAAGAUAUUGCCACAACCCCUAGACACAGUGGUUCCCAGGUAUAUCAUGCAGCAGGGCAGUGUGUCAGUGGAGUGAAGACCAACUCUCACAAUGCAGUACAUGUCUCUUAACCAAGUCUUUUCCAUUUGUAGAACACAUUGGUGAAUGAAGGUCAGCAGAAAUCUGCCUCUAGGGUAAUUUCCAGCUGCCCUCUGUAAAUGGUAGUACUUCUAUUUUGUGCUUGCCAAAUCCACGUGUCUUAGAACUAUUUCUUUCCAAACAUCUUUGAUAACAGCACAAAGCUUUCAAGCAUGCUUAUUAAUGGAAACUUUAAAAACUUUUAUUCAUUUUUAUGCAGGGACUUGAAGCUAAAUUCUGUUUGAACACUUUAUAUGUAUCAGAUUAACCUCACGGUGCUCAGUGAAGCUGCAUGAGAUUUAUGACAUCAUUACUGAAAAGAUAAUUUGGUCUCUGGCCAGCAGGAAUGCAAUGUGUCAUAUGAAACAUAAGCCAGUAGGGAGAAUCCAUUUCUGGUUGAAGCCGUUCAUGUAGAAUGAGUCAAGUGCCAAGAAAAGUUCAGGACUUUUCUAAAAUAUUUUGACUUUGGGUCAUACUUUUACUUUUAACCUCUAAGUAGUUUAAUUAUAGAGUAAUAGUGGACACAGAUAUUUACAAAUAAAUUGUUCUUUCCUCUGAUCUCA